RNAcentral lists this long non-coding RNA (500 nucleotides) under Homo sapiens (human). RNAcentral describes it as "non-protein coding lnc-MCF2L2-2:1". Lineage: Eukaryota; Metazoa; Chordata; Mammalia; Primates; Hominidae. The record is from RNAcentral.
CCCCACAGCUCCUGCCAACCCUCCCCAGUCAGGUCUGUCCUGUCCCUACUCUCACCAGGACCUGCCUUCAGAAGGCCUCCCCCACCCCCACCAGGUCUUGCCCUCCCAUGAGACCUGUUUCUGUGGGAGAACUAUGGUUCCCUUGAUGACAAAUUUUGCCAUGUGACUUACUCUGGACGGUUUUGUGUAAAUGGAUUAUAUGUAUUUAGCUCAUCCUGUACUGUUGGACAUUUAGGUUGUUUCCAAUUUUUGGCUAAUACACAUAACUCACUGAUAAACCUCCUUGUGGACUCACCAUUUUCUGGCCUCCUUUCCACCCUUUCUAUUUCAUCAGUUCCUGCGGAUGGUGGAUGCCUGUGCCAGCUUCCUCACUGAAGCCUUGAACCCAGAAAACUGCGUUGGAAUACUGAGGCUGGCUGACACACACUCGCUGGACAGUCUAAAGAAGCAGGUUCAGAGUUACAUCAUUCAAAACUUUGUGCAGAUUCUGAACUCUGAGG